Molecule: long non-coding RNA, 229 nt
Organism: Helianthus annuus (common sunflower)
Lineage: Eukaryota; Viridiplantae; Streptophyta; Magnoliopsida; Asterales; Asteraceae
Exons: 3
Source: RefSeq, a predicted model, not a curated record
CCCUGUCUUCUCUCAUUCAUCCAUACCUUGGCCCUAAAGAUGACAUCUCUUUUUCAGUGCAAAUGUUUGGUGUUAUUCACCGAUUUCACAUCACAAAUGGAUUUGGCUAAUCAUUUAGGAGCAGACUAUAGCAUGUUGAUUGUUCAUGGCUUUUCAAGGGCUCAACUGAGAAAGGCAUGUAGCUCUCAAACGGCUCAAUGACUCCCGCUAUUUUUGUUGAGUCAGGUAA